RNAcentral lists this ribosomal RNA (424 nucleotides) under Shigella sp. FC1967. RNAcentral describes it as "bacterial SSU rRNA". It matches the Rfam family "Bacterial small subunit ribosomal RNA", at positions 23 to 444 of the family's 1533-position model. The record is from RNAcentral. Lineage: Bacteria; Pseudomonadati; Pseudomonadota; Gammaproteobacteria; Enterobacterales; Enterobacteriaceae.
CUCAGAUUGAACGCUGGCGGCAGGCCUAACACAUGCAAGUCGAGCGGUAACAGGAGAAAGCUUGCUUUCUUGCUGACGAGCGGCGGACGGGUGAGUAAUAUAUGGGGAUCUGCCCGAUAGAGGGGGAUAACUACUGGAAACGGUGGCUAAUACCGCAUGAUGUCUACGGACCAAAGCAGGGGCUCUUCGGACCUUGCGCUAUCGGAUGAACCAUAUGGGAUUAGCUAGUAGGUGGGGUAAUGGCUCACCUAGGCGACGAUCUCUAGCUGGUCUGAGAGGAUGAUCAGCCACACUGGGACUGAGACACGGCCCAGACUCCUACGGGAGGCAGCAGUGGGGAAUAUUGCACAAUGGGCGCAAGCCUGAUGCAGCCAUGCCGCGUGUAUGAAGAAGGCCUUAGGGUUGUAAAGUACUUUCAGCGGGG